GAUGAAGAACGCAGCGAAAUGCGAUAAGUAAUGUGAAUUGCAGAAUUCAGUGAAUCAUCGAAUCUUUGAACGCACAUUGCGCCCGCCAGUAUUCUGGCGGGCAUGCCUGUUCGAGCGUCAUUUCAACCCUCAAGACCCCGGGCCUGGCGUUGGGGAUCGGCGGAAGCCCCCUGCGGGCACAACGCCGUCCCCCAAAUACAGUGGCGGUCCCGCCGCAGCUUCCAUUGCGUAGUAGCUAACACCUCGCAACUGGAGAGCGGCGCGGCCACGCCGUAAAACACCCAACUUCUGAAUGUUGACCUCGAAUCAGGUAGGAAUACCCGCUGAACUUAAGCAUAUCAAUAAGCGGAGGA
Molecule: unclassified non-coding RNA, 353 nt
Filed under: soil metagenome
Description: partial contains 5.8S ribosomal RNA, internal transcribed spacer 2, and large subunit ribosomal RNA
Rfam family: 5.8S ribosomal RNA (bases 1-120)
Source: RNAcentral